RNA transcript from Coffea arabica (coffee), 1292 nucleotides. It is a transcript of the gene named small RNA-binding protein 11, chloroplastic, with no coding region annotated. The record is from RefSeq and is a predicted model, not a curated record. Lineage: Eukaryota; Viridiplantae; Streptophyta; Magnoliopsida; Gentianales; Rubiaceae.
GAAAAGGCUUGCUGCAGAAUAAACUUCACUCCAAUGAGUGCUGCUUUCUCUGUAUCAACAACAGUCAGAAAAAUGGCUAAGAGCAUUUUCUUACCUCCUUCUUGGGCUCCGUCGACAAAAUUGCCCAUCUUUCAAUUGUCAUGUCGAGCAAAUUUGAAGCAGCUUAACUCAUCAAGAAAUAUUCAUGCUUGUCUACUCAAGUAUCCUCUUGCAAGCAAGAUCAUGAUUAGAAACUUACCAUAUACUGCUAGUGAAAGUAGUUUGCUGAAGGAAUUCUCCAAGUAUGGCAAGAUAGCUGAAGUUAAGCUUGUCAAGGAUGAAAAGGCAAAUAGGUCAAAAGGACUUGCAUUUAUCCAAUAUACUUCCCAGGAAGAUGCUUUACUUGCUGUGGAUAACAUGGAUCACAAGUAUUUUGAUGGCAGGGUUAUUUUUAUUGAUCUUGCAAAACCAAGGUCAAAUGAGUUUGGCGGAUAUCCAAGAACGUCAGGACCCCCUGAGGAGCAGCAUAUGCCUGCUGAAGAUGAAGACAAUGAAUGAGCAAAAUGCAGCAAUUAGGAAACCUUUGAGACUUCUUAAGCAUGGACUUGACUAGGCAAUUGGAAUUUUCUGCUGGUUCUGAUUCUACACAUUUUUCGGCUUCUCUCUUCCCAAUCUGUUGCACUUGAUUUUUCUGAGAGCUGCUGAGAAGAUGACUACAUCAGUGACAGCAUUAUCUGUACUUGAAAGCUCAAUGGCAGUGCCUGAAAAACCUCUCUCGCCACUAUCACCACCAACUGUUUCAUGCUGCCCUAGAAAACAGCCUGAGAUGAAAGUCUCAUGGCCUCGCUCGACUAGAACUCCUUGGGUUGUGAAAUGGAUGAAGUAGCAGUUGUUAAUGCGGAUUCUUGCAGCAUCAAUUACAAAAAGUCCUCCACCUUGGUAGCUUGAGUCAAAGAGUAUGUCCCUGAAAGUAACAUCUUCAUAGUAGAUGCCACUGUUUUGGUCUUCCCUGUCUGAAAGGCCAUGAAGAUGAUGAAUGGUAGUACUUUCUUUUUCAAGUUUUCUUGAGUUUGGGGACCAUAGCUCAAUCAGAUGCCUAUGUCCUGGAAAUGUGUUGGAUGCUCUUAAAGUGCCUCCUUGAACCUACUGGGCAAGAAAAGAACUGGUCGAAAGUCAGAAACUUAGAAUGAACAAUCACAAUCCUGUAUCAAGCAUUUUAAAACCCUCUAGUCAAAGUCUUCUUCAUAUUUCAUUCACGAAUUACAAGCUUGUUUUUGACUAUUUGUACAGAAUAAAACUUCUUUAUUCAUUCA